This 935-nucleotide ribosomal RNA is filed under the name uncultured bacterium. RNAcentral describes it as "bacterial SSU rRNA". It matches the Rfam family "Bacterial small subunit ribosomal RNA", at positions 8 to 928 of the family's 1533-position model. The record is from RNAcentral.
AGAGUUUGAUCCUGGCUCAGAUUGAACGCUGGCGGCGUGCUUAACACAUGCAAGUCGAACGUGAAAGUCCUUCGGGGCGAGUAAAGUGGCGCACGGGUGAGUAACGCGUGGAUAAUCUACCCUUAAGAUGGGGAUAACGGCUGGAAACGGUCGCUAAUACCGAAUACGCUCCCGAUUUUAUCAUUGGGGGGAAAGAUGGCCUCUGCUUGCAAGCUAUCGCUUAAGGAUGAGUCCGCGUCCCAUUAGCUAGUUGGCGGGGUAACGGCCCACCAAGGCAACGAUGGGUAGCCGGUCUGAGAGGAUGACCGGCCACACUGGAACUGGAACACGGUCCAGACUCCUACGGGAGGCAGCAGUGGGGAAUAUUGCGCAAUGGGCGAAAGCCUGACGCAGCGACGCCGCGUGAGGGAUGAAGGUUCUCGGAUCGUAAACCUCUGUCAGGGGGGAAGAAACCCCCUCGUGUGAAUAAUGCGAGGGCUUGACGGUACCCCCAAAGGAAGCACCGGCUAACUCCGUGCCAGCAGCCGCGGUAAUACGGAGGGUGCAAGCGUUAAUCGGAAUCACUGGGCGUAAAGCGCACGUAGGCGGCUUGGUAAGUCAGGGGUGAAAUCCCACAGCCCAACUGUGGAACUGCCUUUGAUACUGCCAGGCUUGAGUACCGGAGAGGGUGGCGGAAUUCCAGGUGUAGGAGUGAAAUCCGUAGAUAUCUGGAGGAACACCGGUGGCGAAGGCGGCCACCUGGACGGUAACUGACGCUGAGGUGCGAAAGCGUGGGUAGCAAACAGGAUUAGAUACCCUGGUAGUCCACGCUGUAAACGAUGGGUGCUGGGUGCUGGGAUGUAUGUCUCGGUGCCGUAGCUAACGCGAUAAGCACCCCGCCUGGGGAGUACGGUCGCAAGGCUGAAACUCAAAGAAAUUGACGGGGGCCCGCACAA